Molecule: ribosomal RNA, 497 nt
Filed under: uncultured bacterium
Lineage: Bacteria
Description: partial 16S ribosomal RNA
Rfam family: Bacterial small subunit ribosomal RNA
Source: RNAcentral
GAUGAACGCUGGCGGCGUGCCUAAUACAUGCAAGUCGAGCGAACAGACGAGGAGCUUGCUCCUCUGACGUUAGCGGCGGACGGGUGAGUAACACGUGGAUAACCUACCUAUAAGACUGGGAUAACUUCGGGAAACCGGAGCUAAUACCGGAUAAUAUAUUGAACCGCAUGGUUCAAUAGUGAAAGACGGUUUUGCUGUCACUUAUAGAUGGAUCCGCGCCGCAUUAGCUAGUUGGUAAGGUAACGGCUUACCAAGGCGACGAUGCGUAGCCGACCUGAGAGGGUGAUCGGCCACACUGGAACUGAGACACGGUCCAGACUCCUACGGGAGGCAGCAGUAGGGAAUCUUCCGCAAUGGGCGAAAGCUUGACGGAGCAACGCCGCGUGAGUGAUGAAGGUCUUCGGAUCGUAAAACUCUGUUAUUAGGGAAGAACAAAUGUGUAUGUAACUAUGCACGUCUUGACGGUACCUAAUCAGAAAGCCACGGCUAACUACGUG